GGAGACGUCGCAUAGUCCGGUCGAGUGCACCACCCUGCUAAGGUGGAGUCCCCUCACGGGGACCGCGGGUUCAAAUCCCGCCGUCUCCG
RNAcentral lists this transfer RNA (89 nucleotides) under Agromyces intestinalis. It matches the Rfam family "tRNA". Rfam says of the family: Transfer RNA (tRNA) molecules are approximately 80 nucleotides in length. Lineage: Bacteria; Bacillati; Actinomycetota; Actinomycetes; Micrococcales; Microbacteriaceae. RNAcentral also lists the same sequence under 1 other name. The record is from Rfam by way of RNAcentral.